GUCAAAACACAAUUUUAUAGGGUUAAUUUUACAAACGGUCACUAAAGUUUAAAACUUUCAGUAACGGUCACUUAAGUUUUCAGGCGCUUUCAAAAAUGGUCACUGAAGUUUAAAAACUUUCAAAAAUGGUCACUGAAAUUUCAGUAUUUUGGGGCUACUUUUGCUGUAAUUUUUCGGCCACUUCUGAUCACCGAUACCAUCAAAUUUUGAUAUUGUUGGAAAGACCACAAUGUCCUCUUCAAUUAUCA
This 248-nucleotide long non-coding RNA is filed under the name Olea europaea (common olive). Its description in RNAcentral is "long non-coding RNA (OEUR_LNC011604)". The record is from RNAcentral. Lineage: Eukaryota; Viridiplantae; Streptophyta; Magnoliopsida; Lamiales; Oleaceae.